GAUAGCCAAGAUUCCUGGAAUAUUCGUCAAAAUGAAUGGCUAUGGCCAGCCGCAGAAAAGUCACGGUCGUCGCCAACCACCUUUUUUUAGUCUCACCCCGAAUCGUUUUUCUCUCCUCCCACCCCUGGUCGAGCAGAAAAAUUAUACUCUCUCUCCCCUCGUUUCUCUUCUUAGUGAUGGCGUUGCCAGAUCGGCAAGCAGCAGCCGGACCAACAACAGAGUCGUCGUCGGCGGCGCCGACGGCGGCGAAUGGAUCCAUGCACGCACGACCUCAAGCUCUACUACGCCUUCAACGAACAAAUCUUAAUGGACCCUGAUAAAUGUCACACGUGUGGCAUGAAGCAAUUUCGCCCACACGUGUGAGGGCUGAAGGAGGUCAGGCUAAACGCUCUUCUAGCCACCCAUUGUGAGACGUCGGUUUUUUUAUUUCUUUCACACAUGCACGCAAACAAGGACAAAAACAGAUGAUAGCAGUAAGAAUCUUUUACGUUUUCCAAACUUUAAAAUAUUUUAUCUCUUAAAUAGAAAAUCUGAUUAAAAAUAUGUUUUCACCAUUAAAUCCGCCGUGACAACGUCAUCGAAAGUAGAUCCCAUAUCGAUAUGUUUUGACGAUAUUUUUUGGUGGUAAAAAGUUGCCAUGUAUACAGCGCAUAAAUUGUCAUGGUGUUUACACUAAAAAUGCCAUGAUAUGUUUCAAAAACUUUUUCUUCUAAAAGUAAAUUUUGACAUGUUAUAAAAAGGAUAAUUAAUAAACUAAACUUGCCAUGAAGAAUUACUAAAAUUUGCCAUGAUCCAUGAAAUAAUUUUGACAUGGUUCAUAAUUAAAAAUAAAUUCGUCGUCAAUUACUUUAAAAAUGCAUAGUCAGUGACUCAAAUUUGCCAUGAAUCAGAAACUAAAAUUGACAUGGUGAAUUACUUAAAUUUUCCAUGAUACAUGCACUACAAUUUGCCAGGAUUCAUACAAAAAAAUUCCAUGCUCAAAAUACUAGAAUUGCCAUGGUCAAAAUACUAAAAUUGCCGUGAUCUAUAAACUAAAUUUGCCAUGAUCCAUGAAUUAAAUUUGGCGUGGUUAAUUACUAAAAAUUGCCAUAGUCAAUUAAUAAAAUUUGCCAUGAAAAGUAGUUGAAAUGCAAUGGUAGCUUUAAAUCUAGAAGAAAAAAAUAAAUGAAACAUAUCAUAGCAACUUUAUUGUAAACACUAGGUAACUUCAUUGUAACAUCAUGGCAGCUUUUGGCCCAAAAAAAGGUCAUUGAAACAUAUCAAUAUGGGAUAUAGUUUUGAAGUUCUCUUCGAGACCGGUUUAACGAUGAAAGCGGAUUUUUAAUUAGAUGUUUUACUUAAGCGAUGAAAUAUUUUUUAAAUCCAAACAUCAAAAAAGUUUCGCUGAUGUCAUCUGUUUGAUGCGACAAAAUGGAUGGUAAUGAAGAUUCGUGCCACACGUGUGACACUUAUCAUUUGGGAUCUUAAUUUGUAUGAGGUAGUCAUGUACCAAAUAAUUAUCUAUUGUGACAAGAGAUAGCACUCAUUAAUAUACUGCACUGAAUACGCAAGCAAGUAUCAGCAAAAUUUAUAGGGGUGAUGCGUUGUGCACGUCUUUGAUUAUAAUUCUUCAGUGAAAAUGCUUCAGGGCCAUAGCAGUUUUUUUUCUAGUUUAAAUGAUUUCUAGAUUGUUGUAGAUAAUAUUGUCAAAUGGGUGGUUUUGAAAGAAAAAAAAUUGAUUUUACAGAAUA
This is a long non-coding RNA of Triticum aestivum (bread wheat), 1730 nucleotides long. RefSeq lists it as uncharacterized. The record is from RefSeq and is a predicted model, not a curated record. The transcript has 2 exons. Lineage: Eukaryota; Viridiplantae; Streptophyta; Magnoliopsida; Poales; Poaceae.